This 561-nucleotide ribosomal RNA is filed under the name Oncopsis nigrofaciala. Its description in RNAcentral is "eukaryotic LSU rRNA". The record is from RNAcentral. Lineage: Eukaryota; Metazoa; Arthropoda; Insecta; Hemiptera; Cicadellidae.
UUGCGGCUGGUAUCUAUUCCAGGGCCACGCCUGUCUGAGGGUCGGUCAUAACAGAACUUCGGUUCAACUAUUAUCGCGCUUGAUCUCGGCCUUAGACCGUAGGAGACCUUAACAGUGAUCGUUCUGCAACUGCAGACGAUUGCGUCCUACGCAGGUCGAGCGUCAUGUCGCCAGUUGAGGGUUUUGUCUAAUCGCUUGACGAUUGUCAAUCCCUUUAAAUACGUAACACAGAAACGGGCUAAGUCUCGGCUUGUACUCGGUGCAGCAACUCGACCCAAGUGGUGGAGAGGCGAUUCAGCGCAUACACCUUGUCUUUGCUCGUACAGUGAGAUUUACUGAACAUGUAUCAGUGCUUGCGUACGUACGGCUUGACAGGGCGCGCUGGUAUCACCCGCAAUAGCCCCUGAGUCGUCUUGACGGCUAAGCUCGUUUCAACUGUGUAUAAGCGGCGCUAGAGCCCUGUGCUCUUUCGUCCAACCAAAUUACCGCUGCGACCUCAGAUCAGGUGGGCUUACCCGCUGAAUUUAAGCAUAUUAAUAACAGGAGAGAAAAAACCCAAAA